UACGGAGGGUGCUAGCGUUGUUCGGAAUUACUGGGCGUAAAGCGCGCGUAGGCGGCUUUGUAAGUUAGAGGUGAAAGCCCGGGGCUCAACCCCGGAACUGCCUUUAAAACUGCAUCGCUUGAAUCCAGGAGAGGUGAGUGGAAUUCCGAGUGUAGAGGUGAAAUUCGUAGAUAUUCGGAAGAACACCAGUGGCGAAGGCGGCUCACUGGACUGGUAUUGACGCUGAGGUGCGAAAGCGUGGGGAGCAAACAGG
RNAcentral lists this ribosomal RNA (253 nucleotides) under uncultured bacterium. Its description in RNAcentral is "partial 16S ribosomal RNA". It matches the Rfam family "Bacterial small subunit ribosomal RNA", at positions 524 to 776 of the family's 1533-position model. The record is from RNAcentral.